UAGGGAAUCUUCGGCAAUGGGGGGAACCCUGACCGAGCAACGCCGCGUGAGUGAAGAAGGUUUUCGGAUCGUAAAGCUCUGUUGUUAAGGAAGAACGAGUGUGAGAAUGGAAAGUUCAUACUGUGACGGUACUUAACCAGAAAGGGACGGCUAACUACGUGCCAGCAGCCGCGGUAAUACGUAGGUCCCGAGCGUUGUCCGGAUUUAUUGGGCGUAAAGCGCGCGUAGGCGGUUUUUUAAGUCUGAUGUGAAAGCCCACGGCUCAACCGUGGAGGGUCAUUGGAAACUGGAAAACUUGAGUGCAGAAGAGGAAAGUGGAAUUCCAUGUGUAGCGGUGAAAUGCGCAGAGAUAUGGAGGAACACCAGUGGCGAAGGCGACUUUCUGGUCUGUAACUGACGCUGAUGUGCGAAAGCGUGGGGAUCAAACAGG
Molecule: ribosomal RNA, 430 nt
Filed under: Bacteroidota bacterium
Lineage: Bacteria; Pseudomonadati; Bacteroidota
Description: Bacteroidetes bacterium partial 16S ribosomal RNA
Rfam family: Bacterial small subunit ribosomal RNA
Source: RNAcentral